UUUCCCACAAAGCAGGUGCUAAAUUUUUACUAAUGCCAUGUUCUCCCUGCAGAAUUUCAACAUGCAAGUGUUGCAGUUGCAGAAAUUCUCCUGCUAUGACCCCUCUGUCCUCCCAUAAAAUUAUGCCUGAAUGGAACUGAAUGGUAUGAAUUUAGGCAUUUAUACCUAAUGCUGUGGCAACUGGAAUGCGUCAAAAUGAUUAUUGGAAAGGUGACUGGACAGAGAAGAUUGUUUGAGUGACCAAAGUGAGAAAAGCCAAGGAGCAGAACUGCUGUCCCAGUGGAGAACCCUAAGGAGGAAGACUGGAUACCCAUAUUUUGUAGCUGGCACCCUCCCCUUAAGUCUGGGGUAUGGCUUCCUGUUGUGUUCCCUGCCUGGGUCCUGGGUGGAGGGAAGAAGUGUAAGAUGUGUGUCACAGCCUAAGUGGACCACAUCUGCUUAUAGUGCUGUUGGGGACUUCAGUAUACAGCUCCCAUGCUUAAACCCCCCCAAUUUGCAUAGACACUGGAAAAACACAGCUUGCCUCUCCUGCUUCAGUAGACCUGUAGUUCUACCUCAAUCCUCUGAAAUGUUGUGCCUCACUGAUGGGGGUAUGUAGUGAGUUUUAAUUAAAGACACCUUCUCAUGGAAAAUGACUGCAAACACAAACAUCAGACAGGUGAAGUGGAACCUCAAGUGAGUCACCCAGUGCUAGGGGGAAAUCCAGCAGAGCCUUACCUCUGGUCACUUUUUUCUGUUCCUGUGGUGCAGCCAACACU
This is a long non-coding RNA of Chiroxiphia lanceolata (lance-tailed manakin), 758 nucleotides long. RefSeq lists it as uncharacterized. NCBI's taxonomy places the organism in Eukaryota, Metazoa, Chordata, Aves, Passeriformes, Pipridae. The transcript is spliced from 3 exons. The record is from RefSeq and is a predicted model, not a curated record.